UCCAUUACAUAUAGGAGCAUCUA
Molecule: small nuclear RNA, 23 nt
Filed under: Arabidopsis thaliana (thale cress)
Lineage: Eukaryota; Viridiplantae; Streptophyta; Magnoliopsida; Brassicales; Brassicaceae
Description: snRNA_04283
Source: RNAcentral